This 253-nucleotide ribosomal RNA is filed under the name uncultured microorganism. RNAcentral describes it as "partial 16S ribosomal RNA". It matches the Rfam family "Bacterial small subunit ribosomal RNA", at positions 524 to 776 of the family's 1533-position model. The record is from RNAcentral.
UACGUAGGGUGCGAGCGUUAAUCGGAUUUACUGGGCGUAAAGCGUGCGCAGGCGGCCCGUUAAGACAGGUGUGAAAUCCCUGGGCUCAACCUAGGAAUUGCGCUUGUGACUGGCGGGCUCGAGUUUGGUAGAGGGGGGUGGAAUUCCUGGUGUAGCAGUGAAAUGCGUAGAGAUCAGGAGGAACACCGAUGGCGAAGGCAGCCCCCUGGGCCUGUACUGACGCUCAUGCACGAAAGCGUGGGGAGCAAACAGG